Molecule: long non-coding RNA, 4132 nt
Organism: Homo sapiens (human)
Lineage: Eukaryota; Metazoa; Chordata; Mammalia; Primates; Hominidae
Exons: 3
Source: RefSeq, marked validated
GAAGAAAGACUUCUCGACGCCGAGACACUGCUGGUGGUACUCGAUGUAGAUCACGUGGAUGGCAGGAGCAGUGGCAAAGGACUUUCAACUGACAGACAAGCAUGAGAUGGUGGUCAGCUACCUCCCACUCAGCCAUAUUGCAGCACAGAUGAUGGACAUCUGGGUACCCAUAAAGAUUGGGGCGCUCACAUACUUUGCUCAAGCAGAUGCUCUCAAGAAUUGGUCCAGUGAUUUGUUUUGACUGACAGAAAGGAGCAGAAGGGAUGCUGUGGAAAUUCUGGGACUGACAAAUCUUUGGGACCACUUGCUGUUGGGAGAGUCAGCCACCAGGUUAAGAAGUUCAAGAGUGAUGGCCAAGCGUGGUGGCUCAUGUUUGUAGUCCCAGCACUUUGGGAGGCCAAGGCGGGUGGAUCACCUGAGGUCAGGAGUUCGAGACCAGCCUGGCCAACGUGGUGAAACCCCAUCUCUACUAAUAAUACAAAAAUUAGAUGGGUGUGUUGGCACACGUCUGUAAUCCCUGCUACUCAGGAGGCUGAGGUGGGGGAAUCGCUUGAAAUUGGGAGGCAGAGGUUGCAGUGAGUCGAGAUUGUGCCACUGCUCUCCAACCUGAGCGACAGAGCAGACUCUGUCUCAAAAAAAAAAAAAAAAAAUAGUUCAAGAGUGAUGUCCUCAUGUUGGUCCUGUAAGCUACCCACAGACAGCAUGACCCUGCCCAGAGCCCUGUGGCUUGGGCUCAGCGUGGCUGACAAGUGUCAUCUUCCCUAUUGUGGAAAGCCUUGUGGUUUGGAACCAGAAGGAUAUGAAUGAGAAUCUGCCACUUGCUAACAGUGUAUUGAUACGUGAUGGCUGACAACGGACAUCAGAUGUCAGUUUUCAGGAAGAAGAUCAAAAUUACUGGUAAAUGGAUAAGUUUUGAACUGAAAAUGGAGGAAGGAGAGGCAGGACCUCUUGGAGUGCCCACAGGAAGAAGCUGCGGCGUAGGAAAGGAAAGCUGCAAGGGCCUGUCAAAGAUCAGCUCCUGAGGAACUCAGAGCCCCAUGGAAAGGAUAGGUGGGAGUGCUUCUUUGCUUCCCACUCGCCUUUGACAAUAUCCUGGUCACUAAACUCUCAGGGAGCUCCUCUGCCCUUGCAACCCAGGCCAACACCAUCGGUGCUGAUUAGAGAACUUCCCAGGGACAGAGAACCAGGUGGUCAGUUCACACAGGCAUGCCCACACUCCCCUCAGACCUGAACUGAGACAGCAGGCACCACACUGGUUGUGCACCUGUGGUGCCACUGCCCUGCCUGGGGAUUCUCUGCCCUUGACCCACUGCACCACCAGAUUCCCCACAAACAUACCCCACAACGCGCUGUGACUUUGGCAAGCACAAGGGACCAGUGAGCCUCUGGGGGGCCGCAGGAUCCCUGAAGAUCUAACCCUUGGCAUGGGUAACCCCUAAAGGAGGAGGAGAAUGCAGCCCACCAAAGCCCCCCUUGGGACAAAGGAAAUGUGGGUGUGGCACAAACCACUGGAGUGGGCAGCACCCAUGCCUGGGAAAAGACAUGGAGAAGGGGUCAUUUCCCACCUGCCCUCCCACCCCACACUGCUGCCAGGAACUAAAGGAUGAAGCCUUUAUAAACAGAAGAUUGUGAGCCCCAUGACAGGGGUGUGAUAGAGAAGCGGACUGCAUUCCUGCUGGCUGAGGACAAGGAGCUGGUGCAUUCCCUGCCCCUACCCCUGAGACCUCAGUGCACCCCAUCAUGAUCUCUUCCUGCUACCUCCAUCAGGGUAUGCAUGCCUACUUGGCACCAGCCUACCUGCUGGUUCUAACUUUUAAGUGCGAUCUACUGGACUGCAUCCUGCACUGCACCACCAAACAAAAAUCUUGCUACUGGAAGGGUUUAUUGACAGUGCAUGAGAUAAGCCUCCUGAGACCUCCACACCCUCAGUCCUGCAGGAGAUAGUGUUGGCUGUUAUGUCCAUUACAUCAUUACAACAAGCAGCAUCUGAGAAAGCCACUGCAUAGAAGCUGUCCACAACCAUGGAACCCAUACAGACCUUAGCCACUGCACAGAAGCUGUCCACAACCAUGGAACCCGUACAGACCUUAGCCACUGCACAGAAGCUGUCCACAACCGUGGAACCCAUACAGACCUUUGGCCCCCAAAAGCACUCAGAAGCAAGGCCAUACAAUCACACACAACAUACACCACAGCCAUACCCUCAAGGGAAACUAGAAUUAAAAAAUACAAAAGCCCCAUCCAAACAAUAGAAGAUUCAAAAACAAGAAGUGACAGCUCCCUCAGAUAAGAAGGAAUCAGUGCAAGAAAUCUGGCAGUAGAAAAAGCCAGAGUGUUUCAACACCUCCAAAGAAUCUCACCAGUUCUCUAGCAAUGGGUCCUCAUCAGACUGAAAUGUUUGAAAUGACAUAUAAAGAAUUCAAAAUAUGAAUUGGAAGGAAACUUAAUGAGAUCCAAGAGAAAGUUGGAAACCAAUAUAAGGAAACUAGAAGAACACUUCAAUAUAUGAAAUACAACAUAGAUAUAUUAAGAAAAAACCAAAUUGAACUUCUGGAAUUGAAAAUUUCACUAUAGAAAUUUAAAAAUAUAGUUAGACUAGACCAAGCAGAAGAAAGAAUUUCAGAGCUUGAAGAAUGGUCUUUCAAACAACUCAGACAAAAGUAAAGAAAAAAGAAAUAAAAAACCCAAAGUAUUUGAGAAAUGUGGGAUUAUGUAAAGCAACCAAACCUGUGACUUAAAUGCAUUCCUGAGAGAAAAGAAGAAAAAUUAAGCAACUUGGAAAACAUAUUUGAGGGAGUAAUACAGGAAAAUUUACCUAAUCUUGCCAGAGAGGUCAACAUCUAGAUAUGAGAAAUCCAGAGAACUCCUGUGAGAUGCUACACAAUAUGGCCACCCCCGAGGCAUAUAGUCAUCAGACCAAGGUCAAUGUAGAAAAAAAAUAAAUCUUAAAGGCAUCUAGAGAAAAGGGCCAAAUUACAUAUAAAGGAAAUUCCAUCAGACGUACAGUGGAUUUCUUAGCAGAAACCUCACAAGCCAGAAGAGAUUGAGGGCCCAUUUUUAGCCUUCUUAAAGAAAAAUAAAUGCCAGCCAAUAAUUUUAUAUCCCACUAAACUAAGUUUCAUAAAUGGGAAAUAAAAUAUUUCUCAGAUAAGCAAAUGUAAAGGAAUUUGUCAUCACUAGAUCAGCCCGAAAAGAAAUGCCCAAAGGAGUUCUAAACAUGAGAACAAAAGAACAAUACUUGCUACCAUAAAAGUACAUGUAAGCACAAAGCCCACAGACCCUAUAAAGCAACUAAACAAUCAAGAAUACAAAGCAAAAACACAUGACAGGAACAAAACCUCACAUAUCAAUAUUAACCUUGAACAUAAACAUCCUAAAUACAGCACUUAAAAGACAUAGAGUGACAAAUUUGAUAAAAAAUAAUAAUAAAUAAGACCCAACCUGCUGCUGCCUUCAAGAGACCCAUCUCACAUGUAAUGACACUCAGAGGCUCAAAGUAAAGGGAUGGAGAAAGAUCUAUCAUGCAAACAGAAAACAAAUAAGAUGAGAGGGUGCUACUGUUUUAUCCAAUAAAACAGAUUGUAAACUAAUGACAGUUAAGAAAAAAAAAAAGACAAAGAAAGGCAUUAUAUAAUGAUAAAGGGUUAAAUUCAACCAGAAGAUCUAACCACCCUCCCAACAUCAGAGCCCCCAGAUUUAUAAGACAAGUACUACUAGACUUAAGAGAUAGCCAUACAAUAAUUGUGAGGGACUUCAACACCCCACUGACAGACAGAACAUUGAGGCAGAAAAUAAAGAAAUACUAGACUAAAUUGGACAGUUGACCAAAUGGACCUAAUAGACAUCUUCAGAAUACUCUACCCAGUGGCCUCUGAAUAUACAUUUUUCUCAUCUGCACAUGGAACGUUCUCUAAGAUUAACCACAUGCUAGGCCACAAUGAAAGUCUUAAUAAAUUUAAAAAAAUCAAAAUCAUACCAAGCAUCUUCUCAGACCACAGUGGAAUACAAUUAGAAAUCAAUACCAAGAGGAACCCUCAAAACCACACAAAUACAUGGAAACUAAGCAACUUGCUCCUUAAUGACUUUUGGGUAAACAAAUUAAAGAAGCAAUAAAAACAAUCUUUGAAACAAA